RNAcentral lists this long non-coding RNA (290 nucleotides) under Coffea arabica (coffee). Its description in RNAcentral is "long non-coding RNA (CARA_LNC000203)". The record is from RNAcentral. Lineage: Eukaryota; Viridiplantae; Streptophyta; Magnoliopsida; Gentianales; Rubiaceae.
UUGUCUUCUUGUGCUUUGGGGUUUUUAUAGAAGGUGAGAAAUGGCUCCAAAAGGCUCUCCAACGGUCAAAUAUUAAAUGCUGUCAAAACUAGCCGUUGGCCUGUCGGACGUCCGAACCACCUGUCGACGUCCGAACCCUGCGUCCAAACCACCUGUCGGACGUCCGAACCCUGCGUCCGAACGUCGUCAGAGAGUCAUCAAAUCUUUGCGAAAUUUCUCGGACGUCCGAUGCGAUCGAUGUGCGUCCGACAGAGUUUCCUUCUUGAUGUUCUUCAUCCUUUCGGACGUCC